UACGACUACAUAUCAGGCAUAUCAAUAAGCGGAGGAAAAGAAACUAACAAGGAUUCCCUUAGUAACGGCGAGUGAAGCGGGAAGAGCUCAAAUUUGAAAUCUUCAAGGUUCUACCUUGACGAAUUGUAGUUUAAAGAAGUGUUUUCUGUUAGAUGAGUAGCAAAAGUUCCUUGGAAUGGGACAUCAUAGAGGGUGAGAAUCCCGUAUUUGGUUAUUCAUUCUAGCUUUGUGAUACACUUUCAAAGAGUCGGAUUGUUUGGAGAAUGCAGUCCAAAAUGGGUGGUAAAUUUCAUCUAAAGCUAAAUAUUGGCGAGAGACCGAUAGCGAACAAGUACCGUGAGGGAAAGAUGAAAAGAACUUUGAAAAGAGAGUUAAACAGUACGUGAAAUUGUCAAAAGGGAAGCGUUUGACACCAGUGUUGUUUUUCCGAAAAUCAAUUACGAGUGGCUUGAUUUUGUGUUGUAUUGACCUUAGUCAGCUUUCUUCACUUUUUUCGAGUCUUUCUUAAUGCACUUUUCGGUUAACAAGUCAACAUCAAUUUCUUUUGUUAUAAAAGAGUAUUCGGAAGGUGGCUUUCUUUUCGGAGAAAGUGUUUAUAGCCCUAAUACUUCUACAAUCGGAGAGAUUGAGGUCUGCAGCGUAGAUCCUUCGGGGUUAGAUACACUUGUGCUAAGUUGUAGCUUUUCAUAGACAACUUGUUGACUAUGUUUAGUCAUGCGGCUUACUCGCUUGUGCUAUUUUACCUACGCUUAGGAUGUUGAGUAGCGACAUACGCAC
This 777-nucleotide ribosomal RNA is filed under the name uncultured Neocallimastigales. RNAcentral describes it as "partial large subunit ribosomal RNA". It matches the Rfam family "Eukaryotic large subunit ribosomal RNA", at positions 24 to 649 of the family's 3401-position model. Lineage: Eukaryota; Fungi; Neocallimastigomycota; Neocallimastigomycetes; Neocallimastigales. The record is from RNAcentral.